RNAcentral lists this ribosomal RNA (467 nucleotides) under uncultured bacterium. Its description in RNAcentral is "partial 16S ribosomal RNA". It matches the Rfam family "Bacterial small subunit ribosomal RNA", at positions 28 to 507 of the family's 1533-position model. The record is from RNAcentral.
GGUGAACGCUGACAGAAUGCUUAACACAUGCAAGUCAACUUGAAUUUGGGUUUUUAACUUAGGUUUGGGUGGCGGACGGGUGAGUAACGCGUAAAGAACUUGCCUCACAGCUAGGGACAACAUUUGGAAACGAAUGCUAAUACCUAAUAUUAUGAUAAUAGGGCAUCCUAUAAUUAUGAAAGCUAUAAGCGCUGUGAGAGAGCUUUGCGUCCCAUUAGCUAGUUGGAGAGGUAACGGCUCACCAAGGCGAUGAUGGGUAGCCGGCCUGAGAGGGUGAUCGGCCACAAGGGGACUGAGACACGGCCCUUACUCCUACGGGAGGCAGCAGUGGGGAAUAUUGGACAAUGGACCGAGAGUCUGAUCCAGCAAUUCUGUGUGCACGAUGAAGUUUUUCGGAAUGUAAAGUGCUUUCAGUUGGGAAGAAACAAAUGACGGUACCAACAGAAGAAGUGACGGCUAAAUACGUG